AGUUGGGAUUUUUUAGAUCAGCAG
Molecule: microRNA, 24 nt
Filed under: Drosophila pseudoobscura
Lineage: Eukaryota; Metazoa; Arthropoda; Insecta; Diptera; Drosophilidae
Description: dps-miR-193-5p
Gene: dps-miR-193-5p
Source: miRBase by way of RNAcentral